This 484-nucleotide ribosomal RNA is filed under the name uncultured bacterium. RNAcentral describes it as "partial 16S ribosomal RNA". It matches the Rfam family "Bacterial small subunit ribosomal RNA", at positions 30 to 507 of the family's 1533-position model. The record is from RNAcentral.
AUUGAACGCUGGCGGAAUGCUUUACACAUGCAAGUCGAGCGGCAGCACGGGGGCAACCCUGGUGGCGAGCGGCGAACGGGUGAGUAAUACAUCGGAACAUGCCCAGUCGUGGGGGAUAACACUUCGAAAGAAGUGCUAAUACCGCAUACGUCCUGAGGGGGAAAGCGGGGGAUCGCAAGACCUCGCGCGAUUGGAGUGGCCGAUGUCAGAUUAGCUAGUUGGUGGGGUAAAGGCCUACCAAGGCAACGAUCUGUAGCUGGUCUGAGAGGAUGAUCAGCCACACUGGGACUGAGACACGGCCCAGACUCCUACGGGAGGCAGCAGUGGGGAAUUUUGGACAAUGGGGGCAACCCUGAUCCAGCCAUUCCGCGUGAGUGCAGAAGGCCUUCGGGUUGUAAAGCUCUUUCGGCAGGAACGAAACGGUGAGCUCUAACAUAGCUUGCUAAUGACGGUACCUGAAGAAGAAGCACCGGCUAACUACGUG